AAGAUGGUUAUCUUGUACUGAAUACAUAGGUGCAAGAGGCGAACCAGGGGAACUGAAACAUCUAAGUACCCUGAGGAAAAGAAAUCAACCGAGAUUCCCUUAGUAGUGGCGAGCGAACGGGGACUAGCCCUUAAGCUUCUUUGAUUUUAGCGGAACGCUCUGGAAAGUGCGGCCAUAGUGGGUGAUAGCCCUGUACGCGAAAGGAUCUUAGAAGUGAAAUCGAGUAGGACGGAGCACGAGAAACUUUGUCUGAAUAUGGGGGGACCAUCCUCCAAGGCUAAAUACUACUGACUGACCGAUAGUGAACUAGUACCGUGAGGGAAAGGCGAAAAGAACCCCGGAGAGGGGAGUGAAAUAGAUCCUGAAACCGUAUGCGUACAAGCAGUGGGAGCCCACUUUGUUGGGUGACUGCGUACCUUUUGUAUAAUGGGUCAGCGACUUAUUUUCAGUGGCGAGCUUAACCGAAUAGGGGAGGCGUAGCGAAAGCGAGUCUUAAUAGGGCGUCUAGUCGCUGGGAAUAGACCCGAAACCGGGCGAUCUAUCCAUGGGCAGGUUGAAGGUUAGGUAACACUGACUGGAGGACCGAACCGACUACCGUUGAAAAGUUAGCGGAUGACCUGUGGAUCGGAGUGAAAGGCUAAUCAAGCUCGGAGAUAGCUGGUUCUCCUCGAAAGCUAUUUAGGUAGCGCCUCAUGUAUCACUGUAGGGGGUAGAGCACUGUUUCGGCUAGGGGGUCAUCCCGACUUACCAAACCGAUGCAAACUCCGAAUACCUACAAGUGCCGAGCAUGGGAGACACACGGCGGGUGCUAACGUCCGUCGUGAAAAGGGAAACAACCCAGACCGUCAGCUAAGGUCCCAAAGUUAUGGUUAAGUGGGAAACGAUGUGGGAAGGCUUAGACAGCUAGGAGGUUGGCUUAGAAGCAGCCACCCUUUAAAGAAAGCGUAAUAGCUCACUAGUCGAGUCGGCCUGCGCGGAAGAUGUAACGGGGCUCAAACCAUACACCGAAGCUACGGGUAUCACGCAAGUGAUGCGGUAGAGGAGCGUUCUGUAAGCCUGUGAAGGUGAGUUGAGAAGCUUGCUGGAGGUAUCAGAAGUGCGAAUGCUGACAUGAGUAACGACAAUGGGUGUGAAAAACACCCACGCCGAAAGACCAAGGUUUCCUGCGCAACGUUAAUCGACGCAGGGUUAGUCGGUCCCUAAGGCGAGGCUGAAAAGCGUAGUCGAUGGAAAACAGGUUAAUAUUCCUGUACUUCUGGUUAUUGCGAUGGAGGGACGGAGAAGGCUAGGCCAGCUUGGCGUUGGUUGUCCAAGUUUAAGGUGGUAGGCUG
RNAcentral lists this ribosomal RNA (1331 nucleotides) under Pseudomonas sp. NFACC13-1. RNAcentral describes it as "bacterial LSU rRNA". It matches the Rfam family "Bacterial large subunit ribosomal RNA", at positions 141 to 1527 of the family's 2925-position model. The record is from RNAcentral. Lineage: Bacteria; Pseudomonadati; Pseudomonadota; Gammaproteobacteria; Pseudomonadales; Pseudomonadaceae.